Long non-coding RNA from Sorghum bicolor (sorghum), 2927 nucleotides. RefSeq lists it as uncharacterized. NCBI's taxonomy places the organism in Eukaryota, Viridiplantae, Streptophyta, Magnoliopsida, Poales, Poaceae. The transcript is spliced from 5 exons. The record is from RefSeq and is a predicted model, not a curated record.
CAUUUAUAUGCUGGGCUGCAUACAAUAGGGACCCAAAAAUCACUCUAACUCUAGCCUAACUACCUAUCCAGCAUCCGAUCUGAUUUCAGAGCUCCGCCCCGUCGCCUCCGUUCUCCAGCGACCACAGAGGUAUAGCUGCGGGCUGCUGCUACCUAGCUGGAUCGAUCACAAGGAAAUACAGCAUGCAGCUUGGCGCUGUCUUCGCGAGCCGGCGCCAGCCUCUGGCUGAUCAGCUGGCUGAUGUUGUUGGAGCUGUGCGUCACCAGCCUCGUCGACGUCGACGUCGGCGCCGGCUGCAGCAGCAGCGACUCCAGAAUUGAGCAAGAGUGUGAACCUCGAUGUAGCCGAGGUUGUCGGGAUCGAGCUCCUCCAUGAUCUGCGGUGUACUCGUCGACGCGCUCCAGGAUCUUGGACAGCUUGUUAGCAGAGGCGGUCAGAGUGAGGCCCUGGUGAUGGUGCAAGAAAUUCAGAAAAGUUCAGAUUGUUGUUAGCUUAAUUGAGCAACUAGUGAGACAAUCCAAUUCAUGGACUAGUUUCAUUACCUCUUUGAGCUCCUCUUCAGUGAUCUGACCAUCAGCAUUCUUGUCAACCCUGCAACAAGUUUACAAUCAAGCAAGUUCAGACAUGAAUAGAAUUUUGCUGAAAGUGGUUUCAGAAUGCACUUUGCUACUAGCACAGGAUUAUUAAACCCAUGACAUACAUGUCAAAGAAGGUCUGAAGCUUGGCAUCGAAUCCAGGAUCAGAGAGCUGCUGCCAGAACUUCCGGACCUGAUCCUUGGUGAGCACCAUGGUUGUGAUCCCUCUUCGCCGUGCAAGUGCGUCGAAGAUCUGCGCGGCAAACUCCUUGGAUCCAACCAUCCCUGCAGUGCAACAUGAACAUUUCAUUCAGAAAUUCAGAGUUUCAGACAUGUUCCGAGUUCUUUUUCCCUUCUAUAUAAUACAGCAAACCAAAUGGUUCAGACUUCAGAAAAGCAGUCGAGGGGGAAACACAAGAAAGAAGAGUGUGGCGGUCGGUGACUGACCGAUGCACUAGCCGAAGCGUGAGCGGAGGAGGAAACCGUCGACGGCGAGGCGUUGGAAGCGCUUCUCCACCUCGGUCCAUCCCAAGGUGACGGCGGCCUGGUUGAGGAACUGGAAGCGGGAGGGUUGCGGCGAGCGCGGAUCACGACGGCCUGCGGCUCGACGGCGCCUGCUGCUGCGGGAGGGUUGCGGACUCCAGGCCUGCUGCUCGACGGCGUCUGGAGAGAAGGGCGCGCUGGCAUGGAGGGCGAGGAGGAGGCGGUGGGAGGGCGGCGCAGUGGCGUCUGGGGAGAGGGCGGCGCGGUGGUGUCUGGGGAGAGGGCGGCCGCGUCGGGGCGCGGUGGCGUCGGGGCGUCGGGGAGAGGGAGGCCGCGUCGGGUACUAUUCUUGCGGGCCUCCGACUGGAAUUUAAGAGCUCUCCUAAAAUGAGAGGCCAAGUAGCAGGGCCACUCGAGUUCUCGAACUCCAUGGGGGCCUGUUUAGGAGGCCCAUUGGAGUUGCUCUUAGGUCCUGUUUAGUUUCCUACCUAAAAUUUUUUCAUCCAUUCCAUCAAAUCUUUGGACACAUGCAUGGAACAUUAAAUAUAGAUAAAAAAAUAAACUAAUUAUACAGUUAGGUUCAAAAUCGCGAGACAAAUCUUUUAAGCCUAGUUAGUCUAUGAUUAGCCUUGACAUUUUUCCGACAUAACCGAUGUGCCAAAAUUUUUUCAUCUCUAAUCUAAACAGGGCCUUAGGGGUUGCGGCGCCGGGAUCGUGGAUCCGCUCCUGUUCACCGGUGCGAAAAGCCAUGGCUGAAAAUACUGUUCGCUAAUUUGUUAUGAGAGCAAAAUAUUGUUGGCUAUGACUGAAAAUAUUGUUCGCUAAUUUGUUACGAGAGAAAAAUAUUAUUGACCGACACAAAAAAAAAAAGUACGGCAGCGAACAGCCGACCACCACGUAACCGGUGCUUACGGGCAUGUGGUACUUGCUGAGGUACGGUACCGGCCGGGGGUUUGGGUGAUUAUUGGGGGGCAUGACUGCGGGGAUUGGCUACGUCCUCGAGGAAUCGUUCAUAUUGCGAGGGCCCCAUAUUGAUUCGGCACGACCGCACGAGGGUGUUAAGGCCAAAUGGCUAUAAGGAAUUUGUUGUGUGGAAAUUUUCUUUCCUUCGGGGUUGUUGUUGAUGUCAAUAAGAAUCGUUUGGUUGCAGUUUUGUUAGAUUGGUCGAAUUAUCCGCGGGCUGCCUGCUCUCUAUACAUAUAACUGUAUGCUAUCGAAAUAAAUGAGCAAUCUGACAAGCCUGAGCUGACUUCUGAGGAGGAUCUUGGUGUAUGAGAAAUCUUCCCUGAACAAGCUGAUGUGUUAGAAGAUGAAUCAGAGUCAGCUCUUUGGUGCUGGAGAUGAGAGAUCUGAAAUCUAUGUCUGUGAAAGCUUGCUGCGUUCUGAGUACGGUUAGAAUGCAUUGAUCGAUGCUUACUGCAAGUCUGGCAAUGUCAGUGCUUCUCUGUGUCAUCAAGUUGAUGGAGAGGAAUGGGGUUCGAGCCAGAUGUCCAGACUUCUAAUGAGAUCAUCAUUUGGUUCUGUUGCACUGUGGAUGAAGCUUCUGAAGUCAGAGUACAAGCGAAGGUGGCGGACCUCAUCGUGAAGCUCAAGGAAGGACUGAACGUGUGGCAAACCUGGAGAUUGAUGGUGCUGCUUAGAGGUGUUGAGGGUAGAUGUUUUGGUGAGAUGUUCUAAGAGGUGCUUUGGUUAAGAGAGGACAGUUCAAGACUCUUUAGUCUUUGCGUCAUUUCUGUUUCUUAAAACUUAUUUCCUUUUGGUGUAAUGUUCUAUCUUUGUUGAUCUUGCGUUGAAUCCUUGUAUCUGUUGCUUUCAAUAUAAGCAGGGCUACGGUCUUUGGUCUUAAAAAAGGACAAAUUGGGUUGUUCA